CUCCCCUCCUUCCCUCUUCCACCUUUCUGCUGUCUUUUCUCACUUCUUUCUCAAGUGACAGUCGCUGUGCUGAGGCUGUAAAGCUAAAUACGUCUCGCUCCUUUCCUUCCAGAAGCAUAGCUUACACAGGGGCAGACAAAUACACCACGGUGAGGAAGCCGCAGCAGUGCUGACCUGGCCGAAAGUUGAGCUCACACACCCUACAGCAAAAACGACUAAAAAAAAAGAAAUAAAGGAAAAACACCUUAUAUAAGAUUGGCCCAGCUCAUGGUUUGAUGGGUAAGGCAGCUGGAUUCCACACGACCAACUGUGUGGUUCAAAUCCUGGAUCUAGCGGCUUGAAGAAAAAAACAGAGCACAUAUACACGCAUGCCCCAAAUCCCAAAUGGAGGAGAAACGAGAGAGGGAUAAUAGCUGACCAUCCCCCCGUCCUUGUCUCUUUUGUCUCUGUCUGGGAAAAAUAAAUAAAUACAUUUAAUUAAAACAGAAGUCUGCAAAGCAGAACAUCAUUAAGGACACUAGGAAGAUAUCCACCUAUUCCGACUGGUGUGGAAGUUCUAGGCCUGUCUGAGGCAACUUCACCUGAGUACUGAGAAACGGAGCAUCAAUUAUCCCAAGAUUACUUCUCUAUUUUCUAACAACA
Long non-coding RNA from Tupaia belangeri chinensis (Chinese tree shrew), 642 nucleotides. RefSeq lists it as uncharacterized. Lineage: Eukaryota; Metazoa; Chordata; Mammalia; Scandentia; Tupaiidae. The record is from RefSeq and is a predicted model, not a curated record. The transcript has 3 exons.